UUUUUUUUUUUUGUCUGACUUUUCCUAAAAUAUGCUAAUUUUAAGAAAGUUUUAAUAAAGACAUUUAUGAAAAAUGGUUGGUUCUGAUCCAAAAUUCUUGAUCCAGAAUUGUUGUUCUGAUUUACUGUUGAAUUUGGACCACAAAAAUCAACAGCUAUAUCCUGUGCUGGGUGGAUUAAAAAGCACAGUAGACUCAGACCAAGAGAAUGAAGAAGCAAAAGUCACCUUUACGCCUCCUAGGAUUAGGAUGCUUAGCGAAUGCUCCUUAACUCACAUCAGCUCCUUCCCCUAGCUACCGGAGCACAGCUUCACACCUCAAAAUAGCCAGAGCAGUGUUUCUGGUCCACAGGCUUCCUCCCAAACACCAUGGAUUGUGCUACAUGUUGUGAAUGGGAAGCUACAGAUUACCUACGUAACUUCAUUCCUUCUCCACUCCUGGUACUUUGGGGAGGUAAGGGAAAAAGUAAAAAUAAAAAUGAAAAAAAAAAAAGGGGGGGGGGGGAUUUUAUUUUGGGGCAAUUGAAUUCCUGACAUGUUUCAAAAGCAAAGCCUUAGUAGCUAUACGGGCAUGCUCUAUUUUUACUUUUUUAACAGUGAAAUCUGCUAAGGCUGCAUCUCUUCAAAAGAAAGUUAGAGAUACUGUUAUUUUUCCACAAGCUCUGAAAAUUACAUAGUAGAGCCCUGUGAACCACUUUCUGUACAAACUGUGGAAUACUUGCUGUCUUAAAAGCAAUGCAUAAAUAUGAAUUACUAGUUUAUAAAUAUGUAUUGUAUUACAAAUGAAGAAAACAACUGAACAGAGGACCUCAUAAUUAUUAUGAUCCUUUAUUUAAAAAUAAAAAAGAAUUACAUUAAUUCCACAGGGAAUUGCUUUUCAUGUAAGCAUGGGAAGAUAGUAUAGCAAAAUAUUUUCUAGUUCUUUGUAUUCAAAUGUAGCAUUCAUAGGUUUGGGGUUUUUUUUUGUUUUGGUUUAGGUUUUGUUUAGUUCUGUGAUUUACAGAGACAGAAUAAGCUCUCUGGGUUGCUGGGAGAAGGAAGGAAGAAAAGAAGAGAGGGAUUUUUUUUUUUUAUCCAUCCCCAUGGCUACAAUGGUCACACAAGUCCACAGCAUCUCACAUUUUGAUUAUUGUAUUAUCUUUCUUUCUAAGGCUGGUAAAUUCACCAGUGCUCAGUUGUAUCCAUUUUUUCAAGCUGUUGCUUUAAGUAUGCCAUUCACAUAUUGCAUCUCUUGUUUUCUACUGCAUUAAAAGAAGCAAGUGUGGAAACAUGAUUGUAAUUUUAUGCAAGUUCUUCCUAUCAAGGAAGCUGAUCAGCUA
This 1316-nucleotide long non-coding RNA is filed under the name Strigops habroptila (Kakapo). Its description in RNAcentral is "lncRNA (ENSSHBG00005018665.1)". Lineage: Eukaryota; Metazoa; Chordata; Aves; Psittaciformes; Psittacidae. The record is from RNAcentral.